RNAcentral lists this ribosomal RNA (458 nucleotides) under uncultured bacterium. RNAcentral's name for it is "partial 16S ribosomal RNA". It matches the Rfam family "Bacterial small subunit ribosomal RNA", at positions 338 to 795 of the family's 1533-position model. The record is from RNAcentral.
CCUACGGGUGGCAGCAGUGAGGAAUAUUGGUCAAUGGGCUUACGCCUGAACCAGCCAAGUCGCGUGAGGGAAGACUGCCCUAUGGGUUGUAAACCUCUUUUGUCAGGGAGCAACGCCGGCUACGUGUAGCCGGACUGAGAGUACCUGAAGAAAAAGCAUCGGCUAACUCCGUGCCAGCAGCCGCGGUAAUACGGAGGAUGCGAGCGUUAUCCGGAUUUAUUGGGUUUAAAGGGUGCAGGCGGCAGCUAAGGUCUGCGGUGAAAGCCCGAAGCUAAACUUCGGUAAGCCGUGGAAACCGAGCAGCUAGAGUGCAGUAGAGGAUCGUGGAAUUCCAUGUGUAGCGGUGAAAUGCGUAGAUAUAUGGAGGAACACCAGUGGCGAAGGCGACGAUCUGGGCUGCAACUGACGCUCAGUCCCGAAAGCGUGGGGAGCAAAUAGGAUUAGAUACCCGUGUAGUC